UGGGUUGUCCAAUGGGCAUAACAG
Molecule: non-coding RNA, 24 nt
Filed under: Arabidopsis thaliana (thale cress)
Lineage: Eukaryota; Viridiplantae; Streptophyta; Magnoliopsida; Brassicales; Brassicaceae
Source: RNAcentral